GCCGGGGUGGCGGAAUCGGAAGACGCGUACGGUUCAGGACCGUAUGGGCUAUGCCCGUGUGGGUUCAAAUCCCUCCCCCGGCACCA
This 86-nucleotide transfer RNA is filed under the name Candidatus Fraserbacteria bacterium. RNAcentral's name for it is "tRNA-Leu". It matches the Rfam family "tRNA". From Rfam's summary of the family: Transfer RNA (tRNA) molecules are approximately 80 nucleotides in length. Their secondary structure includes four short double-helical elements and three loops (D, anti-codon, and T loops). Lineage: Bacteria; Candidatus Fraseribacteriota. The record is from RNAcentral. RNAcentral also lists the same sequence under 1 other name.